This 132-nucleotide ribosomal RNA is filed under the name Escherichia coli. RNAcentral describes it as "partial 23S ribosomal RNA". It matches the Rfam family "Bacterial large subunit ribosomal RNA", at positions 2799 to 2925 of the family's 2925-position model. RNAcentral also lists the same sequence under 3 other names. Lineage: Bacteria; Pseudomonadati; Pseudomonadota; Gammaproteobacteria; Enterobacterales; Enterobacteriaceae. The record is from RNAcentral.
CCGAGAUGAGUUCUCCCUGAGACUUAGAGUCUCCUGAAGGAACGUUGAAGACGACGACGUUGAUAGGCCGGGUGUGUAAGCGCAGCGAUGCGUUGAGCUAACCGGUACUAAUGAACCGUGAGGCUUAACCUU